GCCGGCGUCAUUGUCAGCUCCUUUUAAAUGGAUUAGCAGGACUAUGUAGGACCAGCUCGGUUUGAUAAUACUUUUAUCUAUGCUGUCGCUGAGAAUCGUUUGUUCAGCUUCUAACUGUCCCUUCUGUGGGACUGUCUCCUUGCUGAGGCAUAACCUUGACUCUUGACCUCAAAUCAGGUAGGACUACCCGCUGAACUUAA
This 200-nucleotide unclassified non-coding RNA is filed under the name soil metagenome. RNAcentral describes it as "partial contains internal transcribed spacer 2 and large subunit ribosomal RNA". The record is from RNAcentral.